AGCAUGUUUGACAUAUUUUUUAUUUGAUUGUACGACGAAAUCUUUACUUAUGACUAAAACAGUAUCAAAUAUUGGAUUAAUUUAUCAAUGAAAUGGUUACAAAUUUUUACUAUCAUUUAUUUCAGUUGUGUUGUUUAAUUCUCACGUCUUUCAAAUAUACAUUUUGAUUAACAUUUCAAAAUGAUUGUUAUUAUAAUAUGGUGUGGCUCAUUGGAUCAUUCAGUCGCCGUGUUAGCGUUAAUGCUCAGUUGCUAAAUUUGCGUUUGUUCAUGGAUGGGUGACCAUAUGGAAACUUCACAAUGACACACACCUUGACCUAUACUAGUUCCGUCAGACAUAAUGCGGUUGCGUCAAGUCAACAGCUGGUGCAAAAUUCCGUCAGAUCAUUAAGACCGACUUCAAAUAUUAUGGGGAAGAGGCUAAGGUGAUGAUGAUGAAUGAGCGUAUUUAAUACCAUUUUAACGAAAAUUCGAGUAUGGAUUAUUAAAUACGGGCCUAAAGUGAAUAAAUAAGCAACCUAAUUGAUUAUACUUACAAACUGCAUGAGAAAAAUAAUUGAAGUUAGUCGUUUGUUAGCAGAAAACAUAUCUUGCCCCGUGUAGCCGGGUACUCCUACCAGAAUCAAUGACCUACCUGUAAGUACAGACCGAUGAGUCAAACAUGCCGAAGGCGCAUAAGGACCGUAGGGUAUCAGGACUAGGUUGUAGUCUCAGUUAGGCAAAGCAGUGUAUGCAAUAAAAAUGUUAUUAAUUUUUUAUUUUAAGAAAAUAACUGCAAAAUCACUAUCGAGAGUCGUUCUUCUAACUAUUAUGCCUUCAAGCAACACAAUGCAAUUAACUCUAUCAAAAUACGUAACUUUUUCCCAGUAAAAUAAAUAAAGUAUGAAUGGCACUGACUGUUGAUUAUUUAUAAAUGAUAUCAUAAUAAAAUGAAAUGA
This is a long non-coding RNA of Daktulosphaira vitifoliae (grape phylloxera), 937 nucleotides long. RefSeq lists it as uncharacterized. NCBI's taxonomy places the organism in Eukaryota, Metazoa, Arthropoda, Insecta, Hemiptera, Phylloxeridae. The record is from RefSeq and is a predicted model, not a curated record. The transcript is spliced from 3 exons.